This 285-nucleotide RNase P RNA is filed under the name Labrus bergylta (ballan wrasse). Its description in RNAcentral is "Nuclear RNase P (ENSLBEG00000014735.1)". It matches the Rfam family "Nuclear RNase P". Rfam says of the family: Ribonuclease P (RNase P) is a ubiquitous endoribonuclease, found in archaea, bacteria and eukarya as well as chloroplasts and mitochondria. Its best characterised activity is the generation of mature 5'-ends of tRNAs by cleaving the 5'-leader elements of precursor-tRNAs. Cellular RNase Ps are ribonucleoproteins. The record is from Rfam by way of RNAcentral. Lineage: Eukaryota; Metazoa; Chordata; Actinopteri; Labriformes; Labridae.
GUGGGUGGAAGCUCAUUGUAGAGGUCACAUGCUGAGUGCUCAUCACUCUACCAAUCACCUCGGGGAAGGUCUGAGACAAGAGCCACUAGCUACCCUCGCUGGGUAUCACCUGAUUCAGGUGAGCAGAUGAACAGUAAUAUGGAUUGCUAUGAGCAGUUGUUGCAGGAGAAACCGUGCGGUGGAUGUGACGCUCAAUAGCUUGGAAUCAAAUGCGGCUGGCCAAUGAGUGCGAUGUAUGAGGUGGGGCACAGCUCCAGAACCCAAUUCAGACUACUCUCCCCCCAC